RNAcentral lists this ribosomal RNA (301 nucleotides) under uncultured bacterium. RNAcentral describes it as "partial 16S ribosomal RNA". It matches the Rfam family "Bacterial small subunit ribosomal RNA", at positions 509 to 809 of the family's 1533-position model. The record is from RNAcentral.
CAGUAGCCACGGGAAUACGUAGGUGGCAAGCGUUGUCCGGAAUUACUGGGCGUAAAGGGCUCGCAGGCGGUUUCUUAAGUCUGAUGUGAAAGCCCCCGGCUCAACCGGGGAGGGUCAUUGGAAACUGGGAAACUUGAGUGCAGAAGAGGAGAGUGGAAUUCCACGUGUAGCGGUGAAAUGCGUAGAGAUGUGGAGGAACACCAGUGGCGAAGGCGACUCUCUGGUCUGUAACUGACGCUGGGGAGCGAAAGCGUGGGGAGCGAACAGGAUUAGAUACCCCUGUAGUCCCUGUCUCUUAUCU